AGGGGAUAAAGGGUUACAUGGUGAAGAGAGAAAGUUGGCACAGCUAAGCAGACCAAGUGGGCUUCCUGGAGGAAGGGGCAUUCGAUUGAGAUUUGAAAGCUUUUUUUUUUUUUUUUAAAUUAUUUGACUGCACCGGGUCUUAGUUGUGGCAUGAGAACUCUGAGUUGUGGCAUGUGGGAUCUAGUUCCCUGACCAGGGAUCAAACCCAGGCCUCCUAAAUUGGGAGCGAGGAGUAUUAGCCACUGGACUACCAGGGAGGUCCCAGAUUUUUUUUUUUAAAUCUUGAGUGUUGAAAGGGAAGCAAGGUCGAGUGAAGUCCCUGACAGAAGGGGCAGCUGAGGUGAAGCAGGUGAGACCUGGACUGUGUCGAUCAGACCUAGUUGGGAUCCCAUUGCUAAGGAUGGACCAUGUGGCUUUGUGGAGGUGCCUUCUCCUCCGAACAUAUUUCCUCACUGGAAGAGAAGAAAGACUGUGAAGAUACUGAAACAACACGUGUGAAACAGCCACCCAACCCUGUGGGUGCUGCUCCUGUCUGGCUUACUCCGGUCUGACUCUAGUGGUGGCCUGGCGGGCGCUCCAGGCAGGUGGUGACACUCCUGUGUCUCUGGUUUGAAGGGAAUCAUUAGACAUCAAAUGAACACUCCUUAGGAAGAGAUAAAUGUUGUCCUCUGUCAGAGCCGUGGCCCUGUCACCAGGGCAGGUGACCAGGACUGCACAACCAACAGCCCAGGCUCUGCGGUUCCAGCUCUGCGUCCCGGCUGCUCUCCAGCAGGAAAGGAGGCCAAGGCCUGUGCCCACUUCACACAGAGCACCUCAGGGCCUCGCCCUGGGGUUCCUGCCAAAGAGUCCUUCUUGCAUCACACCUGGAGGCCACCCCAGCCAGCAAGUCCAUCAGGAGGAAUAACACGUUCAGUCAACAGGCACCUGCUUACACAUUUUCUACUCAGAGAUAACUGCUCAGUCAGAGCUCUUCAGACCUCAAAGUGGCCCGGGGCCUGGGUCUGGUGGGGAGGUGCUGCUUUGGCAACACAGAAGCCUCUGCUGCCUCUGGGAGCUGAGCCCACACCUUUCCUUCAAUCUGCAGGUGGUUUCAGAGAACAGAGCGUGCAAGCAGAAGAGGGCAGUGAGAAGGGUAUUGUCAAAGCAACAGUCCCCAGCACUGGGGCUGCAGAGGGUAGAACACAGGCCAAACAUUCAUGCUGACCACGUCAGAACCGCCAACAGGGCCUCUCUCUUCAAAUCUCUCCCAUGUGACUCUUCAGCUCUCCUCACAGGUGGGUGUUUUUGUGGCCGGAGGUGAUCGUGGGUUUGAACGGCCAUGGUAACGUGUCCAAUUUCUCAUGAUGAUCUACCAGGCUGGGAGCCUCUG
RNAcentral lists this long non-coding RNA (1369 nucleotides) under Bos indicus x Bos taurus (hybrid cattle). RNAcentral describes it as "lncRNA (ENSBIXG00000021494.1)". The record is from RNAcentral. Lineage: Eukaryota; Metazoa; Chordata; Mammalia; Artiodactyla; Bovidae.